CCUACGGGUGGCAGCAGUAGGGAAUUUUCGUCAAUGGGCGCAAGCCUGAACGAGCGAUGCCGCGUGAGUGAAGAAGGCCUUCGGGUCGUAAAGCUCUGUUGCGGGGGAAAAAAGGCAGCAUCAGGAAAUGGGUGCUGACUGAUGGUGCCCUGCCAGAAAGUCACGGCUAACUAAGUGCCAGCAGCCGCGGUAAUACGUAGGUGGCGAGCGUUAUCCGGAAAGGUUGGGCGGAAAGGGUGGGCAGGCGGUCCAGCAAGCCUGGAGUGAAACGCACGGGCUCAACUCAUGCAUGGCUUUGGAAACUGGAGGACUGGAGAGCGGGAGAGGGAGGUGGAACUCCAUGUGUAGCGGUAAAAUGCGUAGAUAUAUGGAAGAACACCAGUGGCGAAGGCGGCCGCCUGGCCUGUUGCUGACGCUGAGGCACGAAAGCGUGGGGAGCAAAUAGGAUUAGAUACCCGAGUAGUC
RNAcentral lists this ribosomal RNA (465 nucleotides) under uncultured bacterium. RNAcentral's name for it is "partial 16S ribosomal RNA". It matches the Rfam family "Bacterial small subunit ribosomal RNA", at positions 338 to 795 of the family's 1533-position model. The record is from RNAcentral.